Molecule: long non-coding RNA, 279 nt
Organism: Episyrphus balteatus (marmalade hoverfly)
Lineage: Eukaryota; Metazoa; Arthropoda; Insecta; Diptera; Syrphidae
Exons: 3
Source: RefSeq, a predicted model, not a curated record
AAAAACGAACCGGCAUGAUGAUUGAUUUGUGAAUUGUCAAAACAAACCACAAAUCAAAUCCUCAUGGCGGUCGUCUUUACCAAAGGUACUCAAGAAUAUUUUGCUGAAAUUAACAGUUCUCGUAACAUCACAAAUAGUCAUCCCGAGCGGAAAUCUGGCUCCAAAACGAGACAGAAAGUUUACAUCCCACCCAGGAACAACAAAAACAAUAUUCCACAUAUGAAUGGGAAUGCACCAUUCCACCCCCAUUUCCACCAGCUGCAGACAGCUGAAGCAGAU